CAGCAGUCGCCGCGGGAAUACGAAGGGUGCAAGCGUUACUCGGAAUUACUGGGCGUAAAGCGUGCGUAGGUGGUGGUUUAAGUCCGUUGUGAAAGCCCUGGGCUCAGCCUGGGAAUUGCAGUGGAUACUGGGUCACUAGAGUGUGGUAGAGGAUAGUGGAAUUUCCGGUGUAGCAGUGAAAUGCGUAGAGAUCGGAAGGAACAUCUGUGGCGAAGGCGACUAUCUGGGCCAACACUGACACUGAGGCACGAAAGCGUGGGGAGCAAACAGGAUUAGAUACCCGCGUAGUCCCUGUCUCUUAUAC
Molecule: ribosomal RNA, 304 nt
Filed under: uncultured bacterium
Lineage: Bacteria
Description: partial 16S ribosomal RNA
Rfam family: Bacterial small subunit ribosomal RNA
Source: RNAcentral